CCUACGGGUGGCAGCAGUGAGGAAUAUUGGUCAAUGGACGAGAGUCUGAACCAGCCAAGUAGCGUGAAGGAUGACUGCCCUCUGGGUUGUAAACUUCUUUUAUAUGGGAAUACAAUGUUCCACGUGUGGGAUUUUGUAUGUACCAUAUGAAUACGGAUCGGCUAACUCCGUGCCAGCAGCCGCGGUAAUACGGAGGAUCCGAGCGUUAUCCGGAUUUAUUGGGUUUAAAGGGAGCGUAGGUGGAUUGUUAAGUCAGUUGUGAAAGUUUGCGGCUCAACCGGAAAAUUGCAGUUGAAACUGGCAGUCUUGAGUACAGUAGAGGUGGGCGGAAUUCGUGGUGUAGCGGUGAAAUGCUUAGAUAUCACGAAGAACUCCGAUUGCGAAGGCAGUUCACUGGACUGCAACUGACACUGAGGCUCGAAAGUGUGGGUAUCAAACAGGAUUAGAUACCCUGGUAGUC
Molecule: ribosomal RNA, 460 nt
Filed under: uncultured bacterium
Lineage: Bacteria
Description: partial 16S ribosomal RNA
Rfam family: Bacterial small subunit ribosomal RNA
Source: RNAcentral